This 499-nucleotide ribosomal RNA is filed under the name uncultured bacterium. Its description in RNAcentral is "bacterial SSU rRNA". It matches the Rfam family "Bacterial small subunit ribosomal RNA", at positions 26 to 507 of the family's 1533-position model. The record is from RNAcentral.
CGAAGGACGAACGCUGGCGGCGUGCUUAACACAUGCAAGUCGAACGAUGAACCCGGAGCUUGCUCCGGCGGAUUAGUGGCGAACGGGUGAGUAACACGUGAGUAACCUGCCCUUGACUCUGGGAUAACUGCUAGAAAUGGUAGCUAAUACCGGAUACGACCCUCGGCGGCAUCGCCAGGGGUGGAAAGAAUUUCGGUCAAGGAUGGACUCGCGGCCGAUGUCGGAUUAGCUAGUAGGUGAGGUAAAGGCUCACCUAGGCGACGAUCUGUAGCUGGUCUGAGAGGACGACCAGCCACACUGGAACUGAGACACGGUCCAGACUCCUACGGGAGGCAGCAGUGGGGAAUUUUGGACAAUGGGCGCAAGCCUGAUCCAGCAAUGCCGCGUGCAGGAAGAAGGCCUUCGGGUUGUAAACUGCUUUUGUACGGAACGAAACGGUCUGGGCUAAUACCCCGGGCUAAUGACGGUACCGUAAGAAUAAGCACCGGCUAACUACGUG